GACGGUGCCUGACGUCACCUACGGCAAGAAGUUUUUGAUCCCACACGUCAAAGUCGCGGGUUCGAAUCCCUACAUCAUCAUCCAGUCUUCCACCGACAACACGUUCAUAGAGUUCACAGUCUCCCACUUCCAGAACACAACAACAUCGACAAUUGGUUUAGCCGGACACACGCUGAUGAUGGAAGUACACGGGCCACAUGUGGUUGUGGCUGAUAAACCUGUGGUCUGCUACCUUGUGGUGCAGGGUUCGUGUGGUCAAACAAAUGUUGGUGUAGCUAGGACUCUCGUCGUCCCCACCAUCCUCUUCUACAACAUCUAUACCUGGAACUCUAUGCCGACAGGGGUCAGACAACACAAGGUGUAUCUGACGUUGAUUGUUUACACCAUGGAUGUGACGUUUGUUUACGUAGAAAGUCUAAACGUCAG
Molecule: long non-coding RNA, 426 nt
Organism: Physella acuta
Lineage: Eukaryota; Metazoa; Mollusca; Gastropoda; Physidae
Source: RefSeq, a predicted model, not a curated record